UACGUAGGGUGCAAGCGUUAUCCGGAAUUAUUGGGCGUAAAGAGCUCGUAGGCGGUUUGUCGCGUCUGCUGUGAAAACCAGAGGCUCAACCUCCGGCCUGCAGUGGGUACGGGCAAACUAGAGUGCGGUAGGGGAGAUUGGAAUUCCUGGUGUAGCGGUGGAAUGCGCAGAUAUCAGGAGGAACACCGAUGGCGAAGGCAGAUCUCUGGGCCGUAACUGACGCUGAGGAGCGAAAGCGUGGGGAGCGAACAGG
This 253-nucleotide ribosomal RNA is filed under the name uncultured bacterium. Its description in RNAcentral is "partial 16S ribosomal RNA". It matches the Rfam family "Bacterial small subunit ribosomal RNA", at positions 524 to 776 of the family's 1533-position model. The record is from RNAcentral.